UUAAUUAGCAACGCAGUGAUAGGUAGAAGAAGUGAAGAACUGAAGAAGAUAAUAAUAAAAGUAAAUAAAUAAAGAAAUAGUAGAGAGUAACACGCGCAAAGCUAUAACUUCGCUCAACUGGACCAGUAGAUUGCUUCCACAUUCAAACAGUCUCCUCUUGUUCUUCUUCAACUCUUCAGCAGAAUCCAAUGGAUUCUGCAAUCUCCGUCACCACACCGGCGCAGAUGGCACUCUUCAAGGCUCUCCACCGCCACUUCGCCGCCACGGCUCCUCAUCGCCUUCCUCUUCUCCGCCGCAGCCUCAAAUGCGCAGUCAAUUCCUACGCCUCCCGCCACAUUCCGAGCUCACCCGCGGUUUUCAGUUUCUCGCCGUCGCUCAGUGCCUUCCGCGUGCUGCUUCCGCCGCGACCUCCGUGCCGUUUACGGUGCGUUUCAAGCUCCGUCGCUUCCUUCGCUUCUGAAGCCGGCGGCGGAGGCUUCGGCGGAGCCGGAACUGGCGGCGAAGGAGGAGGAGGAGGCGGCGGCGGCGAGUCUGGAGACGGUAGCGUGAAGUUAGUUGGAGACGCGGCUCAGGAGGUUUCGGCGCUUUCGCCUGAUGUGAUCAUUCUCGAUGUUUCGGGAAUGACGUGCGGUGGAUGUGCUGCGACUGUAAAGAGGAUUCUGGAAAGUCGUCCCCAAGUGUCAUCUGCUAGUGUGAAUCUAACUACAGAGACAGCAAUAGUUUGGCCUAUAUCUGAAGCAAAAAAGGCACCAAAUUGGCAGAAGCAUUUAGGGGAGGCACUUGCAGAGCAUUUGACUAACUGUGGAUAUAGCUCCAGCCUUCGAGACUCGGGAAGAGACAAUUUCAUCCAAAUUUUUGAAAGAAAGAUGGAGGAAAAGCGCAAACAAUUAAGACAAAGUGGUCGCGAGCUAGCUGUUUCUUGGGCUCUUUGUGCUGUUUGUCUUGUUGGCCAUCUCUCUCAUUUCUUUGCAGCUAGGGCACCGUGGAUUCAUGCAUUUCAUUCUGUUGGAUUUCAUGUGUCACUGUCUUUGUUUACAUUGCUUGGUCCUGGUCGCCAGCUUAUCUUAGAUGGACUAAAAAGCCUUCUUAAAGGGGCACCAAACAUGAACACCUUAGUUGGUCUUGGGGCCUUGUCAUCAUUUACAGUCAGUUCAUUUGCUACGCUGCUACCAAAAUUGGGUUGGAAAGCUUUCUUUGAGGAACCAAUUAUGCUGAUUGCAUUUGUCUUGUUAGGAAGGAAUCUUGAGCAGAGAGCAAAAAUUAAAGCAACAAGUGAUAUGACAGGACUUCUUAGUUUACUACCAUCAAAAGCCCGCCUUCUUGUUAAUAAUGGGAAAACAGAAGUUGAAUCAGUUGUUGAAGUUCCUUCUGACAGUCUUUCUGUGGGAGACCAAAUUAUUGUGUUGCCUGGAGAUCGUAUCCCAGCAGAUGGAAUUGUCAGAUCUGGUAGAAGCACUGUAGAUGAGUCAAGUUUCACUGGUGAGCCACUUCCAGUAACAAAAUUACCAGGGAGUGAUGUUGCAGCUGGAAGUAUAAAUCUUAAUGGAACUCUCACAAUGGAAGUAAGGAGACCAGGCGGUGAGACUGCUAUGGGGGACAUUGUACGUCUCGUUGAAGAGGCACAAAGCAGGGAAGCUCCAGUACAGAGAUUGGCUGAUAAGGUGGCUGGACACUUCACUUAUGGGGUGAUGGCAGUCUCUUUCACCACUUUUACAUUUUGGAGUCUAUUUGGCAAACAUGUUUUACCUACUGCUUUAUACCAAGGAAGUGCAGUUUCAUUGGCUCUGCAGCUUGCUUGCAGUGUUCUGGUUAUUGCUUGUCCAUGUGCACUCGGAUUAGCCACACCUACUGCUGUGCUGGUUGGAACUUCUUUGGGGGCUACAAGAGGUUUGCUGUUGCGUGGUGGAAACAUUCUAGAGAAGUUUGCCAUGGUAGAUACAGUUGUAUUUGACAAAACAGGAACCCUUACAGUUGGUCGACCUGUUGUGACAAAGGUUAUUGCUCCUUCAUGUGAACAAAAUGCAAAUUCAAGCCAAGCAGAAGAGAAUACAUGGUCUGAUGUCGAAGUUUUGAGGUUAGCAGCUGCAGUAGAAUCGAAUUCAGUACAUCCAGUCGGGAAAGCUAUUGUGGAUGCUGCUCAGAAAGUUAAUUGUACUAAUGCUAAGGUUGCAGAUGGAACAUUCCUUGAAGAACCUGGUUCUGGUGCAGUAGCAACUGUUGAUAACAAAAAGGUCUCUGUUGGGACAUUGGAUUGGAUCACCAGGCAUGGGGUUAGCAGCAAGAUACAUCAAGAAUUGGAGGAUUUUAAAAAUCAAUCUGUUGUCUAUGUUGGAGUAAAUGAUACUCUAGCUGGCCUUAUUUAUUUUGAAGAUGAGAUAAGGGAAGAUGCAAAACACGUUGUUGAUCAAUUGUCUAAGCAAGGUAUUGGAGUAUACAUGCUGUCUGGAGACAAAAGGAAUGCAGCUGAGCAUGUUGCAUCCCUUGUUGGAAUCUCUAAAGAGAAGGUUCUAUCUGGAGUGAAACCAGAUGGGAAAAAAAAGUUCAUAAAUGAACUACAGAAAGAUCAGAAGAUUGUAGCUAUGGUUGGUGAUGGAAUUAAUGAUGCAGCUGCCCUGGCCUCUUCACAUAUUGGUAUCGCAUUAGGUGGAGGUGUUGGAGCUGCUAGUGAGGUGUCUUCUAUUGUAUUGAUGCGCAACCAGCUCUCACAGUUAGUUGAUGCUUUGGAGCUCAGCAGGCUAACCAUGAAUACUGUAAAACAAAAUCUUUGGUGGGCCUUCAUAUACAACAUUGUAGGGAUUCCAAUUGCUGCUGGAGUGUUAUUCCCUAUAAAUGGAACCAUGCUGACUCCAUCAAUUGCUGGGGCUCUCAUGGGGUUGAGUUCCAUCGGUGUAAUGACCAACUCGUUACUUUUAAGAUUCAGAUUUUCUGCAAAGCAGAAACAAAUACAUGGCAUGUUGCCGAAGACCAAAAUCUAUGCAGAUUCUGACCUGGAAAACCAAAACCAGAAACUGAAAUACCGGUAUUAGAUGUUAGGAGGCUCCUCCUAAUAGCAUAGAAACGAGGUUCCCAUCCUGAUGGCAGGUUAAGUAGAGCAUGCUAGGAUUACUGCAUAAUGCCGGCUUUGCAUGGGGAUAUUAGGUGAGGCAUCAUCCUUAGGCUACCCUUAUAAGGAUGAGGAAUUUUAAUAUGGGUCAUGCUAUCCAUACUCUCUGAAUUGGAUCCUCUACAAGGAGAGUAGUUAUAAAUAAUAAAGUGAAGAAUUGAUCAAUUGCUUUUAUUGUGCAUGGAUUUCACCGAACUGAUUUAAAGUAGCUAAGCUUGUGGCAGCGUCGUUUGUGUCAAAAUAACUUAUCCUUCCAAUGUUCUUGCAUCGGGAUCCCUUGCAAUCUCAUGAAAUUCAUUCGUGUAUAAUGCCUUUUUUGUAUUUGCAAAUAUUACAUUUCAUAUUCUGUGAGAAAAAUAUCUUCAUAUUGCACCUCAACAAUUUUUUAUUUAAUAUUGGAUUUAAUUUAUACAUAUGGAUGAUAAUGUAAA
This is an RNA transcript of Arachis duranensis, 3534 nucleotides long. It is a transcript of the gene named copper-transporting ATPase PAA1, chloroplastic, with no coding region annotated. The transcript has 19 exons. The record is from RefSeq and is a predicted model, not a curated record. NCBI's taxonomy places the organism in Eukaryota, Viridiplantae, Streptophyta, Magnoliopsida, Fabales, Fabaceae.